This 1135-nucleotide long non-coding RNA is filed under the name Homo sapiens (human). RNAcentral describes it as "non-protein coding lnc-ZNF711-1:1". Lineage: Eukaryota; Metazoa; Chordata; Mammalia; Primates; Hominidae. The record is from RNAcentral.
GGAAGCAAAGGUCAGAGGGACUGGCCGUAGGCACAUGUGAAGCUUUCUUGCCAAUCUUCAUUGAACUCACACUUCAAAAGUCAUGGUUUUCUCUUUGUUUUAUUGUAAUUUUCUGUUUUAUUAUAAAGAAGAUUGCAGAAAAGAGGCAGAAUAGGAGAGCUGAAAGACAAAAAAAGAGUAUCUAAACAACAGAGGACACAUACUGGAAUCUCUGGAGCUCAUCCCUUCAGAGGGCCCUUCCCAGAAGAACUGUAUCUCCACUUCCUCGGUUCUCUGGAAUAAAUUACAACCUUAUGACUCAUGAGUCCAAACAGGACAGUCUUUACGUCUACCCAUCUUAUGACUGAUGUGGCUCUCAAGGAACAAUAAAACCUAAGCAAAUUAUGGGAACAAGCAUUUAUCAACCACGCAAAUGAAGCCAUUCUUUGUAUGUAUUAUGCAUCUCAAUCUCCAUAUAUGGUUAUCAACGUAAUAAUUCAAGUAAAGAGUUUUUCUACACCAGGAGUUCCAAAAUCAAGCUACAUUCAAAGAGAGAAACAACACAUUGGAUACUCAAGUUAUGAACCGUGAGAAGAGUCAGAAAUUCCUUAUAGGAUAGAACAUGUGCAAUUGAAAUCUAAUAUUAAGUUUUCUGUGGAAAAACACAUAUAUGUGUACUAUAUGGCUAUCUGAUCAUUUUAAAAACAUACUCAGAAUACUUUAAUAAAACACUGUGAGUAUGAAUUAUCUAUGCUUUAAACACUUUACUUCUCUUUCUGCAUUUAUGCCAUCACUUCUUAUCUCUUCAUACCUUGAACUUUUUCUUUUCCCCCUCUCUCACUCUAUGACUCCUGAACAAAACUGUCAUUUCCAAUAUCUAACUUCAUUAACUAAGUAGGGAUGGCAGAUGUUUAUUAUCACCAAAAUGCAGCAUAACAUUUGCAAACUGGUUUAUGACAUGCAUCUUUAUAAAGUGCUCAGUGAAAUGCAUAAACGAUUGAUUGAAAAUUGGUCAAAGAGAAUAUUGAGUACUUUAUUAGUUACUGGCUAAAGCUAAGGAGUUACAGAAAAGCAUCAUAUCUAAAUAAGGAGUUUUAUUUGAAAUAUGUAAUUUCAUUAUGAAUAAAUUCCAUAAAAUAAACUAAGAAUUGCUAAA